RNAcentral lists this ribosomal RNA (253 nucleotides) under uncultured bacterium. RNAcentral's name for it is "partial 16S ribosomal RNA". It matches the Rfam family "Bacterial small subunit ribosomal RNA", at positions 524 to 776 of the family's 1533-position model. The record is from RNAcentral.
UACGUAGGGGCCAAGCGUUGUUCGGAUUUACUGGGCGUAAAGGGCGCGUAGGCGGCAUGACAAGUCACUUGUGAAAUCUCCGGGCUUAACUCGGAACGGCCAAGUGAUACUGUCACGCUAGAGUGCAGAAAGGGCAAUCGGAAUUCUUGGUGUAGCGGUGAAAUGCGCAGAUAUCAGGAGGAACACCAAUGGCGAAGGCAGCUCGCUGGGACGUGACUGACGCUGAGACGCGAAAGCGUGGGGAGCAAACAGG